GUGCCAGCAGCCGCGGUAAGACAGAGGUGCCGAGCGUUAGGCGGAAUCACUGGGCUUAAAGCGUGUGUAGGCGGACCCGUCAGUGUCUUGUGAAAUCCCACGGCUCAACCGUGGAACGGCUGGGCAUACUGCGGGUCUUGAGACACCUAGGGGCGAGCGGAACAGGCGGUGGAGCGGUGAAAUGCGUAGAUAUCGCCUGGAACGCCGACGGUGAAAACAGCUCGCUGGGGGUGUUCUGACGCUGAGACACGAAAGCCAGGGGAGCGAACGGGAUUAGAUACCCCUGUAGUCC
This 292-nucleotide ribosomal RNA is filed under the name uncultured bacterium. RNAcentral describes it as "partial 16S ribosomal RNA". It matches the Rfam family "Bacterial small subunit ribosomal RNA", at positions 505 to 796 of the family's 1533-position model. The record is from RNAcentral.